This 468-nucleotide ribosomal RNA is filed under the name uncultured bacterium. RNAcentral's name for it is "partial 16S ribosomal RNA". It matches the Rfam family "Bacterial small subunit ribosomal RNA", at positions 28 to 507 of the family's 1533-position model. The record is from RNAcentral.
GACGAACGCUGGCGGCGUGCUUAACACAUGCAAGUCGAACGGAAAGGCCCUGCUUUUGUGGGGUGCUCGAGUGGCGAACGGGUGAGUAACACGUGAGUAACCUGCCCUUGACUUUGGGAUAACUUCAGGAAACUGGGGCUAAUACCGGAUAGGAGCUCCUGCUGCAUGGUGGGGGUUGGAAAGUUUCGGCGGUUGGGGAUGGACUCGCAGCUUAUCAGCUUGUUGGUGGGGUAGUGUCUUACCAAGGCUUUGACGGGUAGCCGGCCUGAGAGGGUGACCGGCCACAUUGGGACUGAGAUACGGCCCAGACUGCUACGGGAGGCAGCAGUGGGGAAUAUUGCACAAUGGGCGGAAGCCUGAUGCAGCAACGCCGCGUGCGGGAUGACGGCCUUCGGGUUGUAAACCGCUUUCGCCUGUGCCGAAGCGUGAGUGACGGUAAUGGGUAAAGAAGCACCGGCUAACUACGUG